Molecule: ribosomal RNA, 404 nt
Filed under: Verrucomicrobiota bacterium
Lineage: Bacteria; Pseudomonadati; Verrucomicrobiota
Description: Verrucomicrobia bacterium partial 16S ribosomal RNA
Rfam family: Bacterial small subunit ribosomal RNA
Source: RNAcentral
UGGGGAAUAUUGCACAAUGGGGGAAACCCUGAUGCAGCGACGCCGCGUGAGCGAAGAAGGCUUUCGAGUCGUAAAGCUCUGUCCUAUGAGAAGAUAAUGACGGUAUCAUAGGAGGAAGCCCUGGCUAACUACGUGCCAGCAGCCGCGGUAAUACGUAGGUGGCAAGCGUUGUCCGGAAUUAUUGGGCGUAAAGCGCGCGCAGGUGGUUUAGAAAGUCUGAUGUGAAAGCCCACGGCUCAACCGUGGAGGGUCAUUGGAAACUAAUAAACUUGAGUGCAGGAGAGAAAAGUGGAAUUCCUAGUGUAGCGGUGAAAUGCGUAGAGAUUAGGAGGAACACCGGUGGCGAAAGCGGCUUUUUGGCCUGCAACUGACACUGAGGCGCGAAAGCGUGGGGAGCAAACAGG